UGCAGUCGACGAUGAAGCCCAGCUUGCUGGGUGGAUUAGUGGCGAACGGGUGAGUAACACGUGAGUAACCUGCCCUUAACUCUGGGAUAAGCCUGGGAAACUGGGUCUAAUACCGGAUAGGAGCGUCCACCGCAUGGUGGGUGUUGGAAAGAUUUAUCGGUUUUGGAUGGACUCGCGGCCUAUCAGCUUGUUGGUGAGGUAAUGGCUCACCAAGGCGACGACGGGUAGCCGGCCUGAGAGGGUGACCGGCCACACUGGGACUGAGACACGGCCCAGACUCCUACGGGAGGCAGCAGUGGGGAAUAUUGCACAAUGGGCGAAAGCCUGAUGCAGCGACGCCGCGUGAGGGAUGACGGCCUUCGGGUUGUAAACCUCUUUCAGUAGGGAAGAAGCGAAAGUGACGGUACCUGCAGAAGAAGCACCGGCUAACUACGUGCCAGCAGCCGCGGUAAUACGUAGGGUGCGAGCGUUAUCCGGAAUUAUUGGGCGUAAAGAGCUCGUAGGCGGUUUGUCGCGUCUGUCGUGAAAGUCCGGGGCUUAACCCCGGAUCUGCGGUGGGUACGGGCAGACUAGAGUGCAGUAGGGGAGACUGGAAUUCCUGGUGUAGCGGUGGAAUGCGCAGAUAUCAGGAGGAACACCGAUGGCGAAGGCAGGUCUCUGGGCUGUAACUGACGCUGAGGAGCGAAAGCAUGGGGAGCGAACAGGAUUAGAUACCCUGGUAGUCCAUGCCGUAAACGUUGGGCACUAGGUGUGGGGACCAUUCCACGGUUUCCGCGCCGCAGCUAACGCAUUAAGUGCCCCGCCUGGGGAGUACGGCCGCAAGGCUAAAACUCAAAGGAAUUGACGGGGGGCCCGCACAAGCGGCGGAGCAUGCGGAUUAAUUCGAUGCAACGCGAAGAACCUUACCAAGGCUUGACAUGUUCUCCGAUCGCCGUA
Molecule: ribosomal RNA, 936 nt
Rfam family: Bacterial small subunit ribosomal RNA